AAGGGCACAUGCUGGAAAGGCUGACUGGGAAGGCAAGUGUCAUGAGUUGAGAAGGGUGUGCCACUCCCAGCAUCUAUGAUUUCACUUAAAAAUAGCCUAGCAGGUGCUGUCAUUUUCUUUACCAAGCAUCCUAGCGAAUACUUCCUGAGGACAUGGCUGUGUCUCUUUAGGACAGGCAUACAGCUGGAGUGCACUGGCAUGAUUAACGUCACAGCAACCUCUGCCUCCCAGGCUCAAGUGAUUGUCCUGCCUCAGCCUCCCAAGUGGCUAGGAUUACAGGCAGGAGUACAGUGGCGCGAUAUUGGCUCAAUGCAACCUCCAUCUCCCAAGUUCAAGAAAUUCUCCUGCCUCAGACUCCUGAGUAGCUGGGACUAUAGGCGCACGCCACCAUGCCUGGCUAACUUUUGUAUUUUUACAGAGAUGUGGUUUCACCAUGUUGGUCAGGCUGGUCUCAAACUCCUGACCUCAACUGAUCCACCAGCCUUGGCUGGUGACCAAGAUGAAGAUGCAGAGGACCACUGUCAUCCGCUGAGACUACUUCCACUACAUCCGCAAGUACAACUGCUUCAGGAAGCACCACAAGAACACGUUUGUACACCUGUUGUUGAACAAAGUAGUUUAUACAUGUUAAUUAUAUCCAAUUGACUGCUGUUGAGUUGAACCAUGUUCUUAAUAAUUUUCUGUAUGCCAAAUCUGUCUUUUUGAUAAAGGAGCACUGAAAUUUCCAAAUAUAAUAGUGGAUUCAUCUCUUUCUCUGUACAGUUCUAUCUGUUUUUGCCUCACAUAUUUUGAUGCUCUAUUACAUGUAUAUUACAUUAAAGAUGGUUGUCUUAUUGGAGUACUGAUCUGUUGUCAUAAUGUAAUGCUUUUUAUCCCUGAUAACUUUCCUUGCUUUGCAGUCCGCCCUGUAUAGAAGUAUAACUACCCCCAUUUUCUUUAGUCAGUGUUAGUAUAAUGGAUCUUUCUUCAUCUCUUUACUUUUAAUCUAUAUGUGUCUUUAUACUUAAAGUGGGUUUCCUGCAAACAACAUAUAUUUGGGUCUUAUUUUUUAUAAACUUUCACAAUCUCCGCCUUUUAACUGAUGUAACGGACACUGACAUUUAAAGUGAUUAUUGACAUAGCUGGACUAACUGCUAUCAUAUUUGUUACUGUUUUGUUUGUUUGUUGCCCUUGUUCUUUGCUUCUCUUUUGGUCUUCCACACUUGUUCUGUCCAUUGUGGUAACUGAGCAUUUUACAUGAUUCAAUUUUCUCUCCUUUCAUAGCUUACUGAUUAUGCUGCUUUUUUUUUUUUUUUUUUUUUUUUUUGGCAGUUUCACUCUUGUUGCCCAGGCUGGAGUGCAAUGGCACAAUCUCGGCUCUCCACAACCUCUGCCUCCUGGGUUCAAGCAAUUUUCCUGCCUCAGCCUCCAGAGUAGCAGAGAUUACAGGUAUGCACCACCAGGCCUGGCUAAUUUUUGUAUUUUUAGUAGAGAUGGGGUUUCUCCAUGUUGAUCAGGCUGGUCUUGAACUCCCGACCUCAUGUGAUCCA
Non-coding RNA from Callithrix jacchus (white-tufted-ear marmoset), 1529 nucleotides. Lineage: Eukaryota; Metazoa; Chordata; Mammalia; Primates; Cebidae. The record is from RefSeq and is a predicted model, not a curated record.